Long non-coding RNA from Juglans microcarpa x Juglans regia, 757 nucleotides. RefSeq lists it as uncharacterized. Lineage: Eukaryota; Viridiplantae; Streptophyta; Magnoliopsida; Fagales; Juglandaceae. The record is from RefSeq and is a predicted model, not a curated record. The transcript is spliced from 3 exons.
CCAUUAUCUUUUAUUAUACAAGUUUACAGUUAAAAGAACAUAUCACUUACAAAGGAAACUGCAGGAAAGGAAAAAUGGUCAAAGCUCAAAACAUAAUUUUCAUCGAGAGGAAUGGACCAGACUAUGGAAAGUGCUAAUACCUCCAGCAACUAAGAGUAUUUUGUGGAGAGCAUGCAUGAAUAUUUUGCCUACUAGGGUCAAUUUGUGCAAAAAGAAUAUCAUUCAAGACUCUAGUUGUCCAACGUGCCUCAGAGAACAAGAAACUAUUGAACAUAUUCUAUGGGAGUGUACUUCUGCAACUGAUAUUCUGAGUCUAAGUUCGAGGAAAAUUCAGAAAUCAAAGUCUUCUUGCAAGAGUUUUCAAGAACUUAUGCAUAACAUGUGUAGCAGGCUUAAUAAGGAAGAAUUGACAGAAUUAACUCUGAUUUUCUGGGAUAUCUGAAAAAGAAGAAAUGAGUUAGUUUUCAACGAGGUUAUUAGUGAUCCAAAGAAUGUGAUGUUCAGAGUAAAGAGCAUGUUGUCUGGCUUAUCUAUAACAAAUACUGUUAAGGAUGCUCAGGUUUCAACUACAAGCAAUAGGAGGGUUUUUUGGGAAUGUCCACCUCAAGGUUAUUGUAAAAUAAACUGAGAUGUGGCAGUUCAACCAAACUUUUGUAAAAUAGGCAUAGGAAUUGUUGUAAGAGAUGAGGAAGGGAAUUUUUUGGCAACUUUGAGGCAGCAACAAGAUGCAUUUUCAGAUCCACUUCUAGCAAAGGUA